AUUUUGUUCUACAUAUUUUUAGAUAUAUUUUUUUUCCCCGGUUUUGCUAAGCAUCAUUAGUGUUUAGGAUUGAACUUUGGCUGGGUUUGAAAUUUGAAUACUGUGAAAAUCUAUUGAUAGAUGCUAUGGAAGUGUAUAAACAGUUUAAAUUAUAAAUAGUUAGAAAUGAGUGUUCAACAGUAGCCAAACAUGGGCUUAGGCGAUAACAUACUCUGUGCUGCUAAUUUUGAAAUAGGAGAUGAUCCUUGUCAUUGUGAAUUCGGAGAAGCGAGUGACAAAGGGGACGAUUCUGUGGGAGUUGAAGAUGAAGGAGAUGAUGAAGAUAUUAGUGAUUUGGAAAAUGAUGACCCUACUGAUAUUGAUAUAGAAAGAGUGCGACGAGGUAUUGCCAAUUUCAUAUGUUUCCAGGAUGUGCCGCCGAAUCUUGUAAAAAAUGAUGAUUUCAAAAACUUGAUGACUGAGUACUUUCCUUCCUUGACCUUGGAUUCCGAGACGACCAAAAAUGAUUGCUUGAAGGUUUUUGAGGAAGCGAAAUCAAUAACUAAAUGUACUUUGAAUCAUAUGGGUCGAAUGAUUCCUCUUUCAGUUGACGUGUUAACGUACUUAAAUAGACGUGGUUCCCGUUAUGACUACAUGUCUUUGGCAGCACACUUCGUUGACGAUACUUGGAAGUUGAGGAAAUGGAUUCUUUAUUUUCGGAGGCUUGAUUUUUUUGAUGCAGCAAUCUUGAAAUCUAUAGACGACUGGAGCCUCGAGAAUAAAGUAUAUACUCUGACGUCAGGAAAUAUUAAUGCAUUUGCAAGGGAUGAAAUUAUUGAGUCCAUCAAAUCUCAGUUCAAAGAGAAGAACAGACUGCCAAUCGAUUCUCGUCUUUUUUCUGUGAGUUGCUGUGCUGAAAUGUUUUGUUUGAUGGCGCAAGAUGCAUUCGAAGAGAUAUGUAUCAUCAUCGGCAAACUCAAAGAGCUACAUUUGUCAAGGUCUGAAUCUAUGUGGCAUACGACAAAUUGGAAACUGAAAAUUAUGUUAGAUAUGGAAUCAAUGGGAGAAUUUAAUUCAGAUGUGCACAAGAAUUUUGUGCCAUCUGCAGAUGAAUGGGAGAAAGUUCGAAUUGUCUAUAAACUUGUGGAUAACACUUACAAUGUUGCAAAGCAGGUUUUUGAAACGAAGCAUCCAACAGCUAACAAAUUUUUGUACAAUCUUGAGGAGCUUCGUGCAAAAUUAAUUCUCGAAGCCACUAGUUCAGUCUCUUUUACUUGCUGCGUGGCUAAGAAAAUGCUUCAAAGGCUUGAUAAGUACAUAAAAGAAACGUUUCUGGUAUUGGCAAUUGCGUCAGUGAUGGAUCCUCGUUGCAAAAUGCAAUACAUGGAGUAUAUUUCCACGAAAUUUGAAGACAGGGAUGGCAUCUUGGAAAGUGGUGCUGUUUUGGAGGCUAUUAAAAGCAUCUAUGCAGAUUAUGUGAGCCACGGCACGAAAAUGGAUAAUUCUGAAGGUACUUCAAAUCUUAAAACAGAAGAGGGAAAUCCAAGAAAUGAUAAAGAACAAUUUCCAAAUUUUCAGGGCGGCCAAGAAUACCAUGCAUAUGUUCAAGUCAACAAUAAGCCUAAAAAGUCUGAUCUGGAUUCGUAUUUAGAAGAGCCUGUAGUACCUUGGGAUGAAAACUUCAACGUAUUGCGAUGGUGGAAAUCUGAAGCUCCCAAGUAUCCAAACGUCUCGAAAAUGGCCCGUGACUUCUUGGCUAUACCUAUAUCAGUGGCUACUUCACACGAUGCUUACUAUUAUUUGGAAAAUAGACCGCCUGAUCUUCGUGUUAUCACUUCAGGGGCGGAGAUGAUGAAUGCCUUGAUGUGCUGUAGGAGCUGGAACACUGGUCCUAAGAUUGAUUUUGAGUUAUGGUUUCUUGCUGCUGGUGUGAACAUAUUAUAACUUGUGAUGUCUAUGAUUUUGAAUUACCAUUGUCUGGUGGAACUGUUUGGAUCUUUUUGCUAGCUUGAUCCUAUUUUGAGUUGCCAUGAAUAAUCUAAGAAAGAUGUACCAAAUGUUUUUAUUUAUUGUUCUAUCUAAUCAGGUGUAAUAUUAGACACCUACUCAUCUUAUAAUAUUGGGGAUCCAAAAUGUUUAUGUAAAUACUCUUUGCCCU
RNAcentral lists this long non-coding RNA (2137 nucleotides) under Olea europaea subsp. europaea. The record is from RNAcentral. Lineage: Eukaryota; Viridiplantae; Streptophyta; Magnoliopsida; Lamiales; Oleaceae.